UGCAGCGACGCCGCGUGGGGGAUCAAAGGCCUCUCGGGUUGUAAACUCCUUUCGCUCGUGACGAAGCCUUUGGGUGACGGUAGCGGGAGAAGAAGCACCGGCUAACUACGUGCCAGCAGCCGCGGUAAUACGUAGGGUGCGAGCGUUGUCCGGAAUUAUUGGGCGUAAAGAGCUUGUAGGCGGUUUGUCGCGUCUGCUGUGAAAGCCCGGGGCUUAACUCCGGGUCUGCAGUGGGUACGGGCAGGCUAGAGUGUGGUAGGGGAGACUGGAAUUCCUGGUGUAGCGGUGAAAUGCGCAGAUAUCAGGAGGAACACCGAUGGCGAAGGCAGGUCUCUGGGCCAUUACUGACGCUGAGAAGCGAAAGCAUGGGGAGCAAACAGGAUUAGAUACCCUGGUAGUCCAUGCCGUAAACGUUGGGCGCUAGGUGUGGGCCUCAUUCCACGAGGUCUGUGCCGUAGCUAACGCAUUAAGCGCCCCGCCUGGGGAGUACGGCCGCAAGGCUAAAACUCAAAGGAAUUGACGGGGGCCCGCACAAGCGGCGGAGCAUGCGGAUUAAUUCGAUGCAACGCGAAGAACCUUACCAAGGCUUGACAUACACCAGAUCGCAGCAGAGAUGUUGUUUCCUUUU
RNAcentral lists this ribosomal RNA (628 nucleotides) under Actinomycetales bacterium Ri2Pt_4080. RNAcentral's name for it is "bacterial SSU rRNA". It matches the Rfam family "Bacterial small subunit ribosomal RNA", at positions 387 to 1020 of the family's 1533-position model. The record is from RNAcentral. Lineage: Bacteria; Bacillati; Actinomycetota; Actinomycetes; Actinomycetales.